GAUGAACGCUGGCGGCGUGCCUAAUACAUGCAAGUCGAGCGAACGGACGAGAAGCUUGCUUCUCUGAUGUUAGCGGCGGACGGGUGAGUAACACGUGGAUAACCUACCUAUAAGACUGGGAUAACUUCGAGAAACCGGAGCUAAUACCGGAUAAUAUUUUGAACCGCAUGGUUCAAAAGUGAAAGACGGUCUUGCUGUCACUUAUAGAUGGAUCCGCGCUGCAUUAGCUAGUUGGUAAGGUAACGGCUUACCAAGGCAACGAUGCAUAGCCGACCUGAGAGGGUGAUCGGCCACACUGGAACUGAGACACGGUCCAGACUCCUACGGGAGGCAGCAGUAGGGAAUCUUCCGCAAUGGGCGAAAGCCUGACGGAGCAACGCCGCGUGAGUGAUGAAGGUCUUCGGAUCGUAAAACUCUGUUAUUAGGGAAGAACAUAUGUGUAAGUAACUGUGCACAUCUUGACGGUACCUAAUCAGAAAGCCACGGCUAACUACGUGCCAGCAGCCGCGGUAAUACGUAGGUGGCAAGCGUUAUCCGGAAUUAUUGGGCGUAAAGCGCGCGUAGGCGGUUUUUUAAGUCUGAUGUGAAAGCCCACGGCUCAACCGUGGAGGGUCAUUGGAAACUGGAAAACUUGAGUGCAGAAGAGGAAAGUGGAAUUCCAUGUGUAGCGGUGAAAUGCGCAGAGAUGUGGAGGAACACCAGUGGCGAAGGCGACUUUCUGGUCUGUAACUGACGCUGAUGUGCGAAAGCGUGGGGAUCAAACAGGAUUAGAUACCCUGGUAGUCCACGCCGUAAACGAUGAGUGCUAAGUGUUAGGGGGUUUCCGCCCCUUAGUGCUGCAGCUAACGCAUUAAGCACUCCGCCUGGGGAGUACGACCGCAAGGUUGAAACUCAAAGGAAUUGACGGGGGCCCGCACAAGCGGUGGAGCAUGUGGUUUAAUUCGAAGCAACGCGAAGAACCUUACCAAAUCUUGACAUCCUUUGACAACUCUAGAGAUAGAGCCUUCCCCUUCGGGGGACAAAGUGACAGGUGGUGCAUGGUUGUCGUCAGCUCGUGUCGUGAGAUGUUGGGUUAAGUCCCGCAACGAGCGCAACCCUUAAGCUUAGUUGCCAUCAUUAAGUUGGGCACUCUAAGUUGACUGCCGGUGACAAACCGGAGGAAGGUGGGGAUGACGUCAAAUCAUCAUGCCCCUUAUGAUUUGGGCUACACACGUGCUACAAUGGACAAUACAAAGGGCAGCGAAACCGCGAGGUCAAGCAAAUCCCAUAAAGUUGUUCUCAGUUCGGAUUGUAGUCUGCAACUCGACUAUAUGAAGCUGGAAUCGCUAGUAAUCGUAGAUCAGCAUGCUACGGUGAAUACGUUCCCGGGUCU
RNAcentral lists this ribosomal RNA (1372 nucleotides) under uncultured bacterium. RNAcentral describes it as "bacterial SSU rRNA". It matches the Rfam family "Bacterial small subunit ribosomal RNA", at positions 28 to 1381 of the family's 1533-position model. The record is from RNAcentral.